This 460-nucleotide ribosomal RNA is filed under the name uncultured bacterium. RNAcentral's name for it is "partial 16S ribosomal RNA". It matches the Rfam family "Bacterial small subunit ribosomal RNA", at positions 338 to 795 of the family's 1533-position model. The record is from RNAcentral.
CCUACGGGAGUCAGCAGUGAGGAAUAUUGGUCAAUGGACGAGAGUCUGAACCAGCCAAGUAGCGUGAAGGAUGACUGCCCUAUGGGUUGUAAACUUCUUUUAUAAAGGAAUAAAACGAGGCACGUGUGCCUUUUUGCAUGUACUUUAUGAAUAAGGAUCGGCUAACUCGGUGCCAGCAGCCGCGGUAAUACGGAGGAUCCGAGCGUUAUCCGGAUUUAUUGGGUUUAAAGGGAGCGUAGAUGGGGUGUUAAGUUAGAUGUGAAAGUUUGCGGCUCAACCGUAAAAUUGCAAUUGAUACUGGCAGUCUAGAGUACAGUUGAGGUAGGCGGAAUUCGUGGUGUAGCGGUGAAAUGCUUAGAGAUCACGAAGAACCCCGAUUGCGAAGGCAGCUUACUAAACUGUGACUGACAUUGAUGCUCGAAAGUGUGGGUAUCAAACAGGAUUAGAUACCCGAGUAGUC